Molecule: ribosomal RNA, 372 nt
Filed under: uncultured organism
Description: bacterial SSU rRNA
Rfam family: Bacterial small subunit ribosomal RNA
Source: RNAcentral
CGGGGGAGCAAGCGUUGUUCGGAUUACUGGGCGUAAAGGGCGCGUAGGCGGCCACCGCAAGUCGACUGUGAAAUCUCCGGGCUUAACCCGGAAAGGUCAGCCGAUACUGCGGGGCUAGAGUGCAGAAGGGGCAACUGGAAUUCUCGGUGUAGCGGUGAAAUGCGUAGAUAUCGAGAGGAACACCUGCGGCGAAGGCGGGUUGCUGGGCUGACACUGACGCUGAUGCGCGAAAGCUAGGGGAGCGAACGGGAUUAGAUACCCCGGUAGUCCUAGCCUUAAACGAUGAAUGCUUGGUGUCUGGGGUUUUAUAGUCCCCGGGUGCCGUCGCUAACGCUUUAAGCAUUCCGCCUGGGGAGUACGGUCGCAAGACUG